RNAcentral lists this ribosomal RNA (506 nucleotides) under uncultured bacterium. Its description in RNAcentral is "partial 16S ribosomal RNA". It matches the Rfam family "Bacterial small subunit ribosomal RNA", at positions 28 to 523 of the family's 1533-position model. The record is from RNAcentral.
GAUGAACGCUAGCUACAGGCUUAACACAUGCAAGUCGAGGGGUAACAAGAGGAAAGCUUGCUUUUCUUGUUGACGACCGGCGCACGGGUGAGUAACGCGUAUCCAACCUGCCUAUAACUAGGGAAUAACCUUGCGAAAGUAAGACUAAUACCCUAUGAUUUCCUUUGAUGACAUCAGAUUAGGAAUAAAGAUUUAUCAGUUAUUGAUGGGGAUGCGUCUGAUUAGCUUGUUGGCGGGGUAACGGCCCACCAAGGCAACGAUCAGUAGGGGUUCUGAGAGGAAGGUCCCCCACAUUGGAACUGAGACACGGUCCAAACUCCUACGGGGGGCAGCAGUGAGGAAUAUUGGUCAAUGGGCGGAAGCCUGAACCAGCCAAGUAGCGUGCAGGAUGACGGCCCUAUGGGUUGUAAACUGCUUUUAUACAGGAAUAAAGUUAGCCACGUGUGGUUAUUUGUAGGUACUGUAUGAAUAAGGACCGGCUAAUUCCGUGCCAGCCGCCGCAGUAA